ACUCCCUCAGAAUCGCACCUGGAGAGUUUUCAGUAUUCUGUCAGUCUCAACUUCGGGAGGGAGAGUCAAGCAGAGACAUACCCUUUCCAUUUCUAGCUUGGACAGUUGCUAGUGAGUGGAAGGCAAUCUGCUACAAGU
Tachyglossus aculeatus (Australian echidna) is the source of this 138-nucleotide small nucleolar RNA. The record is from RefSeq and is a predicted model, not a curated record. NCBI's taxonomy places the organism in Eukaryota, Metazoa, Chordata, Mammalia, Monotremata, Tachyglossidae.